RNAcentral lists this transfer RNA (77 nucleotides) under Patescibacteria group bacterium. RNAcentral describes it as "tRNA-Val". It matches the Rfam family "tRNA". Rfam says of the family: Transfer RNA (tRNA) molecules are approximately 80 nucleotides in length. Their secondary structure includes four short double-helical elements and three loops (D, anti-codon, and T loops). RNAcentral also lists the same sequence under 3 other names. The record is from RNAcentral.
GGACGCAUAGCUCAGUUGGUUAGAGCGUUCGGUUCACAUCCGAAAGGUCCCUGGUUCGAGUCCAGGUGCGUCCACCA